RNAcentral lists this ribosomal RNA (253 nucleotides) under uncultured bacterium. RNAcentral's name for it is "partial 16S ribosomal RNA". It matches the Rfam family "Bacterial small subunit ribosomal RNA", at positions 524 to 776 of the family's 1533-position model. The record is from RNAcentral.
UACGUAGGGUGCAGGCGUUAAUCGGAAUUACUGGGCGUAAAGCGUGCGCAGGCGGUUUGCUAAGACAGGUGUGAAAUCCCCGGGCUUAACCUGGGAACUGCGCUUGUAACUGGCAAGCUAGAGUGUGGCAGAGGGGAGUGGAAUUCCACGUGUAGCAGUGAAAUGCGUAGAUAUGCGGAGGAACACCGAUGGCGAAGGCAAUCCCCUGGGCCUGCACUGACGCUCAUGCACGAAAGCGUGGGGAGCAAACAGG